AUGGCCAGGCCAAGACAGCCGUUCCAGGCUUUGGUGAUCCUCCUCCUAGCGACGUGGUUCCUCCCGAGCUCCUCAGCCCAAGCCGUGCUCGCACUCCCACCACCACUAUCAGACACACUCUGCAUUCCCCGUGAGCGGGAUGCGCUUCUCGUGUUCAAGGCAAGCCUCACCGACCCGGGGAACUACCUCUGGUCGUGGCAGGGCGAGGACUGUUGCCGGUGGAAAGGCGUGGAGUGCAGCAACCGAACCAGCCACGUCGUCAAGCUCGAGCUCGACGGGUCUAACACCAUGGGCUGGCCUGUGGGAGGUGAGAUAAACCCCUCCUUGCUCUCUCGUUCAACGACUUCGGUGGCAACAUGGUUGUUACUCGUCUGA
Molecule: ribosomal RNA, 375 nt
Filed under: Triticum aestivum (bread wheat)
Lineage: Eukaryota; Viridiplantae; Streptophyta; Magnoliopsida; Poales; Poaceae
Description: partial small subunit ribosomal RNA
Source: RNAcentral